UCCUCCUCCUCCUCUUCCUCCUCUUCCUCCUCCUCCUCCUCCUCCUCUAGCGCGUGCGACGGUGGUGGUGAUCGUGGUGGUGACCCUGUUCGUCGUCGUCGUGGAAAUCUGCUUCUUGGGAUUCUGAAUAAACGUGCAGUGUCUCACUUUAUGCUGUCACGUGACCUGGUGUACGGCGAGAAAAAUGCAAGAUGGCGGACGUGGAUAUUGGGGAAAGCAUACCUAUUACCAUGGAUGGUAGCUCAAUUUUUCGUCUCCCCUACCGACCUGGACAUUGUUUAUAGCAAAGAACAGCCGGUGCCGAUGCAAAGAAACCGCCGAUACAUAAGAUUUUACAAAGAAUCCGCCGAUAUGGAUAUGUAACGUGUAAUUGAAGGUGUGUUUAAAAACAAUUCUUUCAAAUACUUCUCCAAGCGUAGAGAGAAGAGAGAUAGGGCGAUAGUUUCCUGGAAUAGAUCGAUCUCUAGCCUUAAAGAUUGGAGUAACAAAAGCUUCCUUCCAAGAGUCGGGAAAUUCAGAUGACGUUAGCAAUUGGUUAAACAGAUCUGCUAGAGGUGAAGAUACAGUACAGGUACAAUACAGAGCUCUGUAGGACCACAUUCGUAUCAGAUCGCAUUUGUAACAGGAGUUACAAAUGUGAUCGCAUAUGUAUCUGAAAUCAAGCACAUAAAUUAUUAUGUAACAAGUUUUGAGACGAAUGUGAUAGAUGCCGAUUCUUGAUGUGACAUCUGAUCAUAUUUGUCACAUGUCAUUUUCGAUCGGAAAAAUGAACAAAAUAGUGCAUUUUUACAUCUGAAACACAUUUGUAACAUGUUUUAGCUCACUUGUACGAAGUGACAAAGUAAGCUAUUGUGUUCACCCUUUGUACGUCGUCCAUCGUCCGACCGUCCGUGCGUUCACAGUUUUCUUGUGAAUACGAUAGAGACAACAUUUGUUAUUUUAUUUUGACAAAAACUGCACAGAACUUAUAUAUAUAUAUAUCUUUGAUAUCUCGGAUUCUUUCGAAAACCAGCCAUAUCACCUCAUUCGUCUUGGAGUUAUGGCCCCUGAGAUGGCAAUAAUUACUGAUUUUAGCCUUGUGAACGCGAUAGAGAUCACAUUUUUUGUUUAUUUUGACUAACCUUGCAUACAACUUAUAUAUAUCUAUAAGAUCUCGGUUUCUUUCAAAAACUACCGUAUUGCAUCAUUUGACUUGAGAGUUACGGCCUCUGAAUUGGCAUAAAAAUGUUGAUUUUAGCAUUGUCAACACAAUGGAGACUACAUUUAUUAUUUCAUUUUUAUUACACUUAUAUUAGGAUCAGCCAUAUCGCGCCAUUUGUCUCGGAGUUAUGGCUGAAAUGGCAAAAUUUGCUUAUUUUAGUCUUGUGACCAUAUAUUUUAUUUCAUUUUGACCAAACUUGUAUAGAAGUUACAUAUCUAUAACAUCUCGGUUCCUUGCGAAAACCAGCUAUAUAGCACCAUUUGCCCUGGAGUUAUAUUAGUAAGAUCUCAAAAAGUAGCCAUAUCACGCUAUUUAUCUUAGAGUUAUGGCCCCUAAAAUGGCAAAAAUCGCAGAUUUAAUAACAUGUAUAGUGUGAUAUUACUCACGUGAGCGAUAGUUGGCCAUGACGGCCCUCUUGUUAAUUAGAGGGGUAUUUCCGGUCAGGUUAAUACCUUGGUACUGGUUGUUAUCUGGCAAUUAAACUUGGCAAGAAUUUCGUUAUCACGACUGUCUAUUCAUAGUAGAAUGGUGCUACAUGUACAUGUCACGUAUAAAUUUCCCAUAUCGGUUUUUGUUUGUAAGAUUUCAUUUUUACUAAAUGCAUGAAUAUAUGAAUAAAUAUGA
This is a long non-coding RNA of Mercenaria mercenaria, 1825 nucleotides long. RefSeq lists it as uncharacterized. The transcript is spliced from 3 exons. NCBI's taxonomy places the organism in Eukaryota, Metazoa, Mollusca, Bivalvia, Venerida, Veneridae. The record is from RefSeq and is a predicted model, not a curated record.